Molecule: ribosomal RNA, 389 nt
Filed under: Streptomyces javensis
Lineage: Bacteria; Bacillati; Actinomycetota; Actinomycetes; Kitasatosporales; Streptomycetaceae
Description: partial 23S ribosomal RNA
Rfam family: Bacterial large subunit ribosomal RNA
Source: RNAcentral
GGUCAAGCGAAUAAGCGCACACGGUGGAUGCCUUGGCGGUCAGAGGCGAUGAAGGACGUGGCAGCCUGCGAAAAGUAUCGGGGAGCUGGCAACAAGCUUUGAUCCGGUAAUGUCCGAAUGGGGAAACCCACCCGCUUGCGGGUAUCCUGCAGUGAAUACAUAGCUGCUGGAAGCGAACCUGGUGAACUGAAAUAUCUAAGUAACCAGAGGAAAAGAAAUCAACCGAGAUUCCGUAAGUAGCGACGAGCGAACGCGGACUAGCCCUUAAGCUGAUUUGGUUCUAGGAAAACGCUCUGGAAAGAGCGGCCAUAGAAGGUGAUAGCCCUGUAUCUGAAAGGGCCAUUUCAGUGAAGACGAGUAGGGCGGGGCACGUGAAACCCUGUCUGAAC